GUUCUCGUGGUGUAGUCGGUCAUCACAUCCGCCUAACACGCGGAAGGUCCCCGGUUCGAACCCGGGCGAGAACA
Diachasma alloeum is the source of this 74-nucleotide non-coding RNA. The record is from the annotation of a RefSeq genome assembly. Lineage: Eukaryota; Metazoa; Arthropoda; Insecta; Hymenoptera; Braconidae.